This 252-nucleotide long non-coding RNA is filed under the name Mytilus galloprovincialis (Mediterranean mussel). Lineage: Eukaryota; Metazoa; Mollusca; Bivalvia; Mytilida; Mytilidae. The record is from RNAcentral.
CAUUUACAACCACUAAAUGCCUUUUUUGCGUCAGAAUAGAUUUUUCCUUCUGAAUAUUGCCAGAAUUGGUCAAGAUAACAACCGAUUUCAUUCAUAGAAAUGAACAAAUUGCAAAAAUCAAACAAUACCGAUUCACGAUAUAUCAUCGUACCGUGAAAUUAUCUUUGAGAUGAGAAUUGUAUCAGUUUCUUGAAAAGACUAAUUUUGCAGCGCAUUUAGGACACACAGCUAUACUUUGUUUUAUGAAACAAG